Molecule: ribosomal RNA, 611 nt
Filed under: uncultured Glomeromycotina
Lineage: Eukaryota; Fungi; Glomeromycota
Description: eukaryotic LSU rRNA
Rfam family: Eukaryotic large subunit ribosomal RNA
Source: RNAcentral
UGGGAGGUAAAUUUCUCCUAAGGCUAAAUAUUGGCGAGAGACCGAUAGCGAACAAGUACCGUGAGGGAAAGAUGAAAAGAACUUUGAAAAGAGAGUUAAAAAGUACGUGAAAUUGUUGAAAGGGAAACGAUUGAAGUCAGUCGUACCGACGAGAAAUCAGCUUUUCGAAUGUGCAUUUGUGGGCGUAUGAGAUCUUCAUUGUUUGCAAUAUGCGUAUUUCUUUGGUGUACUUUUUCGUAUGGUAGGACAACGUCGGUUUUGAUCGCCAUAAAAUGAUCGGAGGAAUGUAGCUUCGACUUCGGUUGAAGUGUUAUAGCCUUUGGUAAAUGUGGUGAUUAGGACCGAGGAUUGCAACGAAUAUCUUUUAGGCUAUCCGUCUGACCUCUGAAAGUUACUUGGGUGUCGAAAGCUUGCUUACGGCCAUUCAAGUUGACGGUUAAAAGGUUAGAACGUGAUUACAUUCGUUAAGGACGUUGACGUAAUGGCUUUAAACGACCCGUCUUGAAACACGGACCAAGGAGUCUAACAUAUAUGCGAGUGUUCGGGUGUUCAAACCCUUACGCGUAAUGAAAGUAAUUCAGGUGGGAUCGCAUUCGUGUGCACCAUCGACC